CGAAGCAACGCGAAGAACCUUACCAGGUCUGCAUCCGAUGCUAUUUCUAGAGAUAGAAAGUUACUUCGGUACAUCGGUGACAGGUGGUGCAUGGUUGUCGUCAGCUCGUGUCGUGAGAUGUUGGGUUAAGUCCCGCAACGAGCGCAACCCCUAUUGUUAGUUGCCAUCAUUCAGUUGGGCACUCUAGCGAGACUGCCGGUAAUAACCGGAGAAGUGGGGAUGACGUCAAAUCAUCAUGCCCCUUAUGACCUGGGCUACACACGUGCUACAAUGGUUGGUACAACGAGUUGCGAGUCGGUGACGGCGAGCUAAUCUCUUAAAGCCAAUCUCAGUUCGGAUUGUAGGCUGCAACUCGCCUACAUGAAGUCGGAAUCGCUAGUAAUCGCGGAUCAGCACGCCGCGGUGAAUACGUUCCCGGGCCUU
This 423-nucleotide ribosomal RNA is filed under the name uncultured Streptococcus sp. RNAcentral's name for it is "bacterial SSU rRNA". It matches the Rfam family "Bacterial small subunit ribosomal RNA", at positions 952 to 1382 of the family's 1533-position model. Lineage: Bacteria; Bacillati; Bacillota; Bacilli; Lactobacillales; Streptococcaceae. The record is from RNAcentral.